ACCCGCUGAACUUAAGCAUAUCAAUAAGCGGAGGAAAAGAAACCAACAGGGAUUGCCUCAGUAACGGCGAGUGAAGCGGCAAAAGCUCAAAUUUGAAAUCUGGCUCUUUCAGGGUCCGAGUUGUAAUUUGUAGAAGAUGCUUCGGGUGUGGUCCCGGUCUAAGUUCCUUGAAACAGGACGUCAUAGAGGGUGAGAAUCCCGUAUGUGACUGGGUACCUACGCUCAUGUGAAGCUCUUUCGACGAGUCGAGUUGUUUGGGAAUGCAGCUCAAAAUGGGUGGUAAAUUUCAUCUAAAGCUAAAUAUUGGCCAGAGACCGAUAGCGCACAAGUAGAGUGAUCGAAAGAUGAAAAGCACUUUGGAAAGAGAGUUAAACAGUACGUGAAAUUGUUGAAAGGGAAGCGCUUGCAAUCAGACUUGCGUCUAGUCGAUCAUCCGGGCUUCUGCCCGGUGCACUCGAUUAGGCUCAGGCCAGCAUCGGUUUGGGUGGUUGGAUAAAGGCUUGGGGAACGUAGCCUCCUUCGGGGGGUGUUAUAGCCCCAGGUGCAAUGCAGCCUACCUGGACCGAGGACCGCGCUUCGGCUAGGAUGCUGGCGUAAUGGUUGU
RNAcentral lists this ribosomal RNA (604 nucleotides) under uncultured fungus. RNAcentral describes it as "eukaryotic LSU rRNA". It matches the Rfam family "Eukaryotic large subunit ribosomal RNA", at positions 23 to 641 of the family's 3401-position model. Lineage: Eukaryota; Fungi. The record is from RNAcentral.